UUUUUUUNUUNUUCACGCCCGGUUCGGUUGACGAUCCCCCUUGGCGCUUGAGGCGCGCCGGAAAUCGCNUCAAACGCCUUUGGCAUUUGCCCGCGGUGUCGGGCUCGUUCCGAGCUUUCCGAAACGUACUCACGGGCCCCGUGAGUCCAUCGGGAUCGAAAGUUAGGCACGUAAACGCGGAGACGCGCGGAUUACGUUUACUGAGAAAUUCUCCAUUUCGUAUUUCGUCGCACGUAAGUAGCGCUACGUCAACCGCGCGACGGGUCCUUGAGAGGGGGAAGUCGAACACUCCGGAAAUUUCUCGAGAGGAGAGAGCGAUUCGCUUCAAGUAAAUAACANGCUAACAUGAC
This 350-nucleotide unclassified non-coding RNA is filed under the name Melaleuca sp. DM346. Lineage: Eukaryota; Viridiplantae; Streptophyta; Magnoliopsida; Myrtales; Myrtaceae. The record is from RNAcentral.